This is a long non-coding RNA of Daphnia carinata, 1012 nucleotides long. RefSeq lists it as uncharacterized. The record is from RefSeq and is a predicted model, not a curated record. The transcript has 3 exons. NCBI's taxonomy places the organism in Eukaryota, Metazoa, Arthropoda, Branchiopoda, Diplostraca, Daphniidae.
GAAAGAGUAGUCUGGUGAACGUUGGAUUUUCAAGAGCAUUGUUUUUCGAGAUUGGGAGUAUAAAUGUAGGUAUUUUCGGCAUCAACCAUGGAGGAUUUAGCAGAUUUUCGGGAAAACUAACGGAGGUAAACAGGGAAACUUUUAAAGCUAACAGUUGGAACUUGCACAACACAACACUUGGGGUACUUCUGGUGUUCCAUAAGCUUUAUGAGGUAAAGGCAGGCUAACCAUUCACAUCUGCAAUGAAUGGGGGUUAUGCCUGUGUCCAGCCACAGAUGUGCACGAGGAGUGGAGUUUGGAGCCAGAAGGAUUGCACGAAGAAUUGAGUUUUGGAUUGUAUCCAGCUUCCUGGUAAGGGGAGAUCUGCCCUGAAGGAUACUUAGGUUCAGAUUCUUCCUAACCAGGAUUUUGAAGAAGUUUGCUCUUCGAGAAACCUUUGUAACUAAAUCUUGCAGAUGUUGGUUCCAGUUGAGCUUACGGUCAAAGGUGAUACCCAGGAAUUUGCCAUGACUGACGGCAGGGAUACUCUCACUGUUAAAGGUCAGAUGGAGAGGGACGUAGUUCUUAAUUCUUCUGUUGAACGAUAUGGAGAAACACUUGGACACAGAGAUUUGGAAUCUCCAGGUAGCACACCAUCUUUCAAAUUUUCUUAUUGCAGUUUCUAGCCUUUUUCGGGCUUUGCUUCUUAGGGAGUGAGUGCAGCGGGCUGAGAUGUCAUCCGCGAACAUUUUGACGAUAACGCCUAAAUUGUUUUUCGGGUUCCUACACAAGGGGAAGUCACGGGUCAUGAUAGUGAAGAGAAUGGGGCCCAGUACUGAGCCUUGGGGAACUCCGACGGAGAUGAUUUUGGCAUGUGACAGUGUACUGUCUAGUUUGACCCGAACCUUCCGCUGUAGCAGGAAGUUCAGGAGCCAUUUGAGGAUGUUCCCUGUAACUCGCGCUUGACUUAUUUUGAAGAGCAGCCCGGGUAGCCACACCAGGUCGUAAGCUUUUUUAAUGUCUAGAAAGACGC